This 446-nucleotide ribosomal RNA is filed under the name uncultured bacterium. RNAcentral's name for it is "partial 16S ribosomal RNA". It matches the Rfam family "Bacterial small subunit ribosomal RNA", at positions 338 to 795 of the family's 1533-position model. The record is from RNAcentral.
CCUACGGGAGGCAGCAGUAGGGAAUUUUCGGCAAUGGGGGGAACCCUGACCGAGCAACGCCGCGUGAACGAAGAAGUUAUUCGUAAUGUAAAGUUCCUUUAACAGGGAAGAAAGAGAAAUUUGACGGUACCUGAAGAAUAAGCUCCGGCAAACUACGUGCCUGCACCCGCGGUAAUCCGUAGGGAGCGAGCGUUAUCCGGAAGUAUUGGGGGUAAAGGGGGCGUAGAUGGCAUGGUAAGGCUUUGGUAAAAAUGCGGGGCUCAACCCAGUAGGGCAAAAGAUACUGCAAAGCUAGAGUAUGACAGAGGCAAGUGGAACUACAUGUGUAGCAGUAAAAUGCGUAAAUAUAUGUAAGAACACCAGUGGCGAAGGCGGCUUGCUGGGUCGAUACUGACAUUGAGGCACGAAAGCGUGGGGAGCAAACAGGAUUAGAUACCCCUGUAGUC